AGGAAUUUAGGUUAAAUACACAAACCAAGGGCCUUCAAAGCCCUAAACAGGGGCCAGACCCCUAAUUCCUG
This 71-nucleotide transfer RNA is filed under the name Urocotyledon inexpectata. RNAcentral's name for it is "tRNA-Trp". It matches the Rfam family "tRNA". From Rfam's summary of the family: Transfer RNA (tRNA) molecules are approximately 80 nucleotides in length. Lineage: Eukaryota; Metazoa; Chordata; Lepidosauria; Squamata; Gekkonidae. The record is from RNAcentral.